GGCUCGCUACAACUCCGAGCGUAGUAAUUCAUUAUCUCGCUAGGGAGGUUGCGGCGUGCUCCUGCCGUUAAAGACCCAUCUUUAACCAAGGUUGACCUCGGAUCAGGUAGGAAUACCCGCUGAACUUAAGCAUAUCAAUAAGCGGAGGAAAAGAAACCAACAGGGAUUGCCCUAGUAACGGCGAGUGAAGCGGCAACAGCUCAAAUUUGAAAUCUGGCUUCGGCCCGAGUUGUAAUUUGUAGAGGAUGCUUUUGGUGAGGUGCCUUCUGAGUUCCCUGGAACGGGACGCCAGAGAGGGUGAGAGCCCCGUAUAGUCGGCCACCGAUCCUUUGUAAAGCUCCUUCGACGAGUCGAGUAGUUUGGGAAUGCUGCUCAAAAUGGGAGGUAUAUCUCUUCUAAAGCUAAAUAUAGGCCAGAGACCGAUAGCGCACAAGUAGAGUGAUCGAAAGAUGAAAAGCACUUUGAAAAGAGGGUUAAAUAGCACGUGAAAUUGUUGAAAGGGAAGCGCUUGUGACCAGACUUGUGCCGGGCUGAUCAUCCAGUGUUCUCACUGGUGCACUCGACCCGGCUCAGGCCAGCGUCGGUUUUCGCGGGGGGAUAAAAGCUUCGGGAACGUGGSMMCUUCGGGUGUGUUAUAGCCCGUUGCUUAAUMCUCCGUGGGGACCGAGG
Molecule: ribosomal RNA, 669 nt
Filed under: Coniochaeta sp. 2 JN-2018
Lineage: Eukaryota; Fungi; Ascomycota; Sordariomycetes; Coniochaetales; Coniochaetaceae
Description: eukaryotic LSU rRNA
Source: RNAcentral